RNAcentral lists this long non-coding RNA (225 nucleotides) under Setaria viridis. RNAcentral describes it as "long non-coding RNA (SVIR_LNC002327)". Lineage: Eukaryota; Viridiplantae; Streptophyta; Magnoliopsida; Poales; Poaceae. The record is from RNAcentral.
GCAACAGGAAACUUGCUCUGUCAACGCAGUGGUAAGCCGUUCUUGCUCAGCUUGUGAGGCAACCAUCACCAGGUUGGUUGAGUGUUGUGCGGCCUCAGGGAGCGACUGGGCGUGGACAUGCUCGUCAGCGUCAAGUGUGGUUGAGUGUGGUGCGUGCAAGCUCCAUACGGGAUGAUAGCUGGGUCAUUUGUGAUGCUUGGCGGGCCAUUUCUACUACGUAUGCCA